AAUUCUGAUUUUUAAAGCAGAUCUUCAACGUCAAGCAACAUCGCGACACGCGCUAUCACACGAUGGCAGGCUCGACCUUCACACUGCUGGUUAUUUUAAGUCUUGCAACUUUGUUGCUUGCUCAGCCAAACAGCGCACCUUUUCCAAGUAAUCAUUUUUGUGGCAAAUACAACAGGGCAACUGACUGUCCCGACGAGGCUUCCUUGGUG
This is a long non-coding RNA of Polypterus senegalus (gray bichir), 209 nucleotides long. RefSeq lists it as uncharacterized. The transcript has 3 exons. The record is from RefSeq and is a predicted model, not a curated record. Lineage: Eukaryota; Metazoa; Chordata; Cladistia; Polypteriformes; Polypteridae.